GAGUUUGAUCAUGGCUCAGGAUGAACGCUGGCGGCGUGCCUAAUACAUGCAAGUCGAGCGAACAGACGAGGAGCUUGCUCCUCUGACGUUAGCGGCGGACGGGUGAGUAACACGUGGAUAACCUACCUAUAAGACUGGGAUAACUUCGGGAAACCGGAGCUAAUACCGAAUAAUAUAUUGAACCGCAUGGUUCAAUAGUGAAAAACGGUUUUGCUGUCACUUAUAGAUGGAUCCGCGCCGCAUUAGCUAGUUGGUAGGGUAACGGCUUACCAAGGCGACGAUGCGUAGCCGACCUGAGAGGGUGAUCGGCCACACUGGAACUGAGACACGGUCCAGACUCCUACGGGAGGCAGCAGUAGGGAAUCUUCCGCAAUGGGCGAAAGCCUGACGGAGCAACACCGCGUGAGUGAUGAAGGUCUUCGGAUCGUAAAACUCUGUUAUUAGGGAAGAACAAAUGUGUAAGUAACUAUGCACGUCUUGACGGUACCUAAUCAGAAAGCCACGGCUAACUACGUGCCAG
RNAcentral lists this ribosomal RNA (520 nucleotides) under uncultured microorganism. RNAcentral describes it as "bacterial SSU rRNA". It matches the Rfam family "Bacterial small subunit ribosomal RNA", at positions 9 to 511 of the family's 1533-position model. The record is from RNAcentral.